RNAcentral lists this ribosomal RNA (474 nucleotides) under uncultured organism. RNAcentral's name for it is "partial 16S ribosomal RNA". It matches the Rfam family "Bacterial small subunit ribosomal RNA", at positions 334 to 799 of the family's 1533-position model. The record is from RNAcentral.
CACUCCUGCGGGAGGCAGCAGUGGGGAAUUUUGGACAAUGGGCGAAAGCCUGAUCCAGCAAUGCCGCGUGAGUGAAGAAGGCCUUCGGGUUGUAAAGCUCUUUUGUCAGGGAAGAAACGGUGAGAGCUAAUAUCUCUUGCUAAUGACGGUACCUGAAGAAUAAGCACCGGCUAACUACGUGCCAGCAGCCGCGGUAAUACGUAGGGUGCAAGCGUUAAUCGGAAUUACUGGGCGUAAAGCGUGCGCAGGCGGUUUUGUAAGUCUGAUGUGAAAUCCCCGGGCUCAACCUGGGAAUUGCAUUGGAGACUGCAAGGCUAGAAUCUGGCAGAGGGGGGUAGAAUUCCACGUGUAGUAGUGAAAUGCGUAGAUAUGUGGAGGAACACCGAUGGCGAAGGCAGCCCCCUGGGUCAAGAUUGACGCUCAUGCACGAAAGCGUGGGGAGCAAACAGGAUUAGAAACCCCUGUAGUCCCAUG